Molecule: long non-coding RNA, 540 nt
Filed under: Homo sapiens (human)
Lineage: Eukaryota; Metazoa; Chordata; Mammalia; Primates; Hominidae
Description: non-protein coding lnc-AGRN-2:8
Source: RNAcentral
GGGAGACGGGGAGCGUUUUGACACCCUCGGAGACCCGGUGUAGCAGGAAGAGCCCAUUGAUGGGGAAGGUGGGGGCGGUUGUGCACCUCAAGCAGGUAGCUGAAGCAGAGAGAGAAGGCGGCAGGCAUCAGCGUUUUCUUCUAUGAACUUAUAAGAUCAAAGACUUUAAGACUUUCACUAUUUCUUCUACCGCUAUCUACUACGAACUUCAAAGAGGAACCAGGAGUACGGAAGGAGCAUGAAAGUGGACAAGGAACGUGACCAUUGAAGCACCACAGGGAGGGGUUCAGGCCUCCGGAUGACUGCAGGCAGGCCUGGGUAACAUCCAGCCUCCCACAAGAAGCUGGUGGAGCAGAGCGUUCCCUGACUCCUCCAAGGAAAGGAGACUCCCUUUCCCGGUCUGCUCAGUAACGGGUGCCUUCCCAGACACUGGCGUUACCGCUUGACCAAGGGGCCCUCAAGCGGCCCUUAUGCGGGCAUGACAGAAGGCUCCCCUCUUGCCUUCUAUUCACUUCUCACAAUGUCCCUUCAGCACCUGAC